AUUGAACGCUGGCGGCAGGCCUAACACAUGCAAGUCGAACGAGUGGUGGACGGGUGAGUAAUGUCUGGGAAACUGCCUGAUGGAGGGGGAUAACUACUGGAAACGGUAGCUAAUACCGCAUACCAUCGGAUGUGCCCAGAUGGGAUUAGCUAGUAGGUGGGGUAACGGCUCACCUAGGAGACGAUCCCUAGCUGGUCUGAGAGGAUGACCAGCAACAAUGGAACUGAGCCACGGUCCAGACUCCUACGGGAGGAAGCAGUGGGGAAUAUUGCACAAUGGGCGCAAGCCUGAUGCAGCCAUGCCGCGUGUAUGAAGAAGGCCGUCGGGUUUUAAAGUUCUUUCAGCGGGGAGGCGUUACCCGCAGAGGAAGCACCGGCUAACGCCGUGCCAGCAGCCGCGGUAAUAC
RNAcentral lists this ribosomal RNA (406 nucleotides) under uncultured bacterium. RNAcentral's name for it is "partial 16S ribosomal RNA". It matches the Rfam family "Bacterial small subunit ribosomal RNA", at positions 30 to 526 of the family's 1533-position model. The record is from RNAcentral.